This 776-nucleotide long non-coding RNA is filed under the name Marmota monax (woodchuck). The record is from RNAcentral. Lineage: Eukaryota; Metazoa; Chordata; Mammalia; Rodentia; Sciuridae.
UGUGCCUUGCUCAGGAAUCUUGGCUCUGCAGUGUCCAUCCCUAGUCUUUAUCUCUUGGACUUUUCAGUAUUUUACUUAAUACUCAAAGGGCACCUAGAGAGGCAGAAAGGAGGUGGGCCUUUGUUGUGUGACUCCUCCUUUUCUGUCUUGCACCUCAAGGCAGGGAGGGUGGAGAGCCCUUCUCUCGGUCCAUCCCUUUUUCCCUCCCUCUUCCUGUGGCCUUGGUAAUGGCUUGAAUUUGACACUCCCGCCUCAGCCUCAGUAGCUGGGUUUACAAAUUCAUUCUUGAUUUUAUUAAACUUUUGGGGAUCUCAUCUGGGAUGGACCCAACUUUUCUCAGGAAAGAGACCUGAGAAUUUACCGUUGGUCUCUGAGUCUUAGCGGUAAAGGGACUUUUUCAUUAGAGUUUUCAGGUUCUCUUUGAUUCCUUUUCUGUCCUAUUCUCAAGGGCCCAAUGUGUCUUAUAAAUACUCAGUAGAUAAUCCUCAAGAUUACUUCUUGUCUUUCCUGUUCGAAUUUGGAACCAGCUGUGCCUCACUACAUGUAUGAAGGUCUGGACACAAGUGUCUGCUGGAAAGGUCGUACAGUACUUUGUGGUUCUGUAACUGAACACAGCGGUUUGCCCCUUGGCUAGUGCAAAGCCAGUAACACAACCAGGGCAUAAAAAGUGGGAAGAGGUUUACUUUUGUUAAGAAAAGAGCAGCAGGAAUGAAUCCUAAAGUGUCUCCCUGGCGAGGGGAUUUUGUCAGGGAGACUUACAAAAACUCAUACUAGAG